ACUAUUGGAUAGAGUUUUCCAAUGGCAUUGUUUUCUACCAAUCUGACUUAUGUUGAGUUUCGCCAAGACUUGACGGGGCCAUCACAUCUUUUGACCACCCCAAAGUAUCACUCGUUGCGUCAACACAGCAGAGAGUUCGUGAGGAGGGGCCUAUAUCCCUGAUCAGCGGCUUAUCCUUUCGUCCACCACAACACUAACUCACACAGUAACUGAUGACAAUCCUCUCCAAAUAAUGCUCACUGAAUUCAACCUCAGCGCUUCUGUUGACACAGCAUGGCACCAGGGACGGAUCCAGUGAUCCACUAACUUUUCCUAUCAGAGAUCUAGACGGACCUGAAAAUAGCACCUCCUAUACUCUGGUAGGUGAUAAGGUGACGUUUGCAGAGCGGCGUCUAUUGAAUAUCAUACAUUUAUGUUUGAAGCGGAGACCGGCAAUAUUCCAAAGUAAUACGGCAGAUGAAGAGAUCAAUUCAAUUUCACGGACGCUAAUGUUGCCUUGA
Long non-coding RNA from Bolinopsis microptera, 500 nucleotides. RefSeq lists it as uncharacterized. The record is from RefSeq and is a predicted model, not a curated record. Lineage: Eukaryota; Metazoa; Ctenophora; Tentaculata; Lobata; Bolinopsidae. The transcript is spliced from 3 exons.